UGCAUGAGUGGGGGGGAGAGGCAGAGGAGAGGGAGAGAAUCCCAAGUAGCCUCCGUGCUGUCAGUGCAGAGCCCAACUCGGGGCUCGAACCCACGAACCGUGAAAUCACGACCUGAGCCGAAGUCGGACGCUCAACGGACUGAGCCAUCCAGGCACCCCACGAUCUGUGUGCUUUAACUCAAGGAAGGCGGCCUCCAGCAUAGUUUCCUAGUUACUGCUUGGAUAAAUGGGGCACCGAUAGGCCUAUCUAGAACCUUCCACAGUAUGGCGAAAAAGCUGCUCAACUCACUCCCCCAUUUUUCCUGUCCACUUCCUGUGGACGGCUUCCCUCAGCUUCAAGCCUGGAUCCAGUGCCCAGCAUGUGAAGACGCCUCCUCACCUGUGCUGAGCUGGGCCAGUGAGAGAACGACAGGGGUCUGAGCAGACCGUGCUGCCUCGCACAAGCCUCUGCUGUUCUCACCACCUCUGCACCUGCUCUCCUGACCCCUUAGGACCACAUCCUCCAGGGGGCAGAGAGGGGCUCCGGCCGGGGAACGAGUCCCACCUCCCACCACUUCCGGUCCAAAGGUGCAUCACCUUUGCAGAGGAGAAAGCCGAGGCACCGUGAGGUUUGGUGACCUGCCCAAGUGACGCGCCCCCAGGUAAAUGAUGCAGGCUUUGUCUCCAGACGGUCUGGCCCUGCACAGCGUCACCUUCACAAAGAGAGGCCCGUCCCAUCCACUGUCGCUAGAGGACAACGGACAGGGAAGGAGGAGGCAACGGAGGUCUGGCCACCCACCUGGCUGCUGGGACCCUGCCUUUCAUCCUGGAGCCUCCUGGUCCCCGCCCUGAGGGGCGGCAGAAACACAGCUGGAGUGAAGCUGUCACCAGCCCCCUUAAGUGAAUGUUCCCCAACCCGUCCAGAAACAGCCACGCCUGUUUAAUACGCUGCAACGAAAGCUCGGGAAGUAUGUUUA
Molecule: long non-coding RNA, 956 nt
Organism: Neofelis nebulosa (Clouded leopard)
Lineage: Eukaryota; Metazoa; Chordata; Mammalia; Carnivora; Felidae
Exons: 4
Source: RefSeq, a predicted model, not a curated record